GCGCACCAGGCGCGAAUUUUCACAAUGGACGAAAGUCUGAUGGAGCGACGCCGCGUGGAGGAUGAAGGUUCUUGGAUUGUAAACUCCUGUCACUGCAGAACAAGGGUGCGCUCGUUAAUAGCAAGCGCAUUUGAUGGUAUGCGGAGAGGAAGGGACGGCUAACUCUGUGCCAGCAGCCGCGAUAAGACAGAGGUCCCGAGCGUUGUUCGGAUUCAUUGGGCGUAAAGGGUGUGUAGGAGGUCGGGUAAGUCAGGUGUGAAAUCUCAGAGCUUAACUCUGAAACUGCGCUUGAUACUGCUCGGCUAGAGGAUCGGGAGGGGUAACGGAAUUUAUGGUGUAGCAGUGAAAUGCGUAGAUAUCAUAAGGAACACCGGUGGCGAAGGCGGUUACCUGAAGAUUCCUGACUCUGAAACACGAAGCCAGGGAGCAAACGGGAUUAGAUACCCGCGUAGU
This 453-nucleotide ribosomal RNA is filed under the name uncultured organism. RNAcentral's name for it is "bacterial SSU rRNA". It matches the Rfam family "Bacterial small subunit ribosomal RNA", at positions 346 to 794 of the family's 1533-position model. The record is from RNAcentral.